RNAcentral lists this ribosomal RNA (486 nucleotides) under Streptococcus gordonii. Its description in RNAcentral is "bacterial SSU rRNA". It matches the Rfam family "Bacterial small subunit ribosomal RNA", at positions 28 to 489 of the family's 1533-position model. The record is from RNAcentral. Lineage: Bacteria; Bacillati; Bacillota; Bacilli; Lactobacillales; Streptococcaceae.
GACGAACGCUGGCGGCGUGCCUAAUACAUGCAAGUAGAACGCACAGUUUAUACCGUAGCUUGCUACACCAUAGACUGUGAGUUGCGAACGGGUGAGUAACGCGUAGGUAACCUGCCUGGUAGCGGGGGAUAACUAUUGGAAACGAUAGCUAAUACCGCAUAAUAUUAAUUAUUGCAUGAUAAUUGAUUGAAAGAUGCAACUGCAUCACUACCAGAUGGACCUGCGUUGUAUUAGCUAGUAGGUGAGGUAACGGCUCACCUAGGCGACGAUACAUAGCCGACCUGAGAGGGUGAUCGGCCACACUGGGACUGAGACACGGCCCAGACUCCUACGGGAGGCAGCAGUAGGGAAUCUUCGGCAAUGGACGGAAGUCUGACCGAGCAACGCCGCGUGAGUGAAGAAGGUUUUCGGAUCGUAAAGCUCUGUUGUAAGAGAAGAACGAGUGUGAGAGUGGAAAGUUCACACUGUGACGGUAUCUACCAGAAA